CCUACGAGCGGCAGCAGUGGGGAAUAUUGCACAAUGGGGGAAACCCUGAAGCAGCAACGCCGCGUGGAGGAUGAAGGUUUUCGGAUUGUAAACUCCUUUUGUUAGAGAAGAUAAUGACGGUAUCUAACGAAUAAGCACCGGCUAACUCCGUGCCAGCAGCCGCGGUAAUACGGAGGGGGAAAGCGUUACUCGGAAUCACUGGGCGGAAAGAGCGCGUAGGCGGGAUAGCAAGUCAGAUGUGAAAUCCUAUGGCUUAACCAUAGAACUGCAUUUGAAACUGGUAUUCUAGAGUAUGGGAGAGGUAGGUGGAAUUCUUGGUGUAGGGGUAAAAUCCGUAGAGAUCAAGAGGAAUACUCAUUGCGAAGGCGACCUGCUAGAACAUAACUGACGCUGAUGCGCGAAAGCGUGGGGAGCAAACAGGAUGAGAUACCCCGGUAGUC
This 440-nucleotide ribosomal RNA is filed under the name uncultured bacterium. Its description in RNAcentral is "partial 16S ribosomal RNA". It matches the Rfam family "Bacterial small subunit ribosomal RNA", at positions 338 to 795 of the family's 1533-position model. The record is from RNAcentral.